UUGAACUGAAGAGUUUGAUCCUGGCUCAGAUUGAACGCUGGCGGCAUGCCUUACACAUGCAAGUCGAACGGCAGCACGGACUUCGGUCUGGUGGCGAGUGGCGAACGGGUGAGUAAUACAUCGGAACGUGUCCUGGAGUGGGGGAUAGCCCGGCGAAAGCCGGA
RNAcentral lists this ribosomal RNA (164 nucleotides) under Paraburkholderia atlantica. RNAcentral describes it as "Paraburkholderia sp. CNPSo 3155 partial 16S ribosomal RNA". It matches the Rfam family "Bacterial small subunit ribosomal RNA", at positions 1 to 162 of the family's 1533-position model. The record is from RNAcentral. Lineage: Bacteria; Pseudomonadati; Pseudomonadota; Betaproteobacteria; Burkholderiales; Burkholderiaceae.